UCUGGUUGAUCCUGCCAGUAGUCAUAUGCUUGUCUCAAAGAUUAAGCCAUGCAUGUCUAAGUAUAAGCAAUUUAUACAGUGAAACUGCGAAUGGCUCAUUAAAUCAGUUAUCGUUUAUUUGAUAGUUCCUUUACUACAUGGUAUAACUGUGGUAAUUCUAGAGCUAAUACAUGCUUAAAAUCUCGACCCUUUGGAAGAGAUGUAUUUAUUAGAUAAAAAAUCAAUGUCUUCGGACUCUUUGAUGAUUCAUAAUAACUUUUCGAAUCGCAUGGCCUUGUGCUGGCGAUGGUUCAUUCAAAUUUCUGCCCUAUCAACUUUCGAUGGUAGGAUAGUGGCCUACCAUGGUUUCAACGGGUAACGGGGAAUAAGGGUUCGAUUCCGGAGAGGGAGCCUGAGAAACGGCUACCACAUCCAAGGAAGGCAGCAGGCGCGCAAAUUACCCAAUCCUAAUUCAGGGAGGUAGUGACAAUAAAUAACGAUACAGGGCCCAUUCGGGUCUUGUAAUUGGAAUGAGUACAAUGUAAAUACCUUAACGAGGAACAAUUGGAGGGCAAGUCUGGUGCCAGCAGCCGCGGUAAUUCCAGCUCCAAUAGCGUAUAUUAAAGUUGUUGCAGUUAAAAAGCUCGUAGUUGAACUUUGGGCCCGGUUGGCCGGUCCGAUUUUUUCGUGUACUGGAUUUCCAACGGGGCCUUUCCUUCUGGCUAACCUUGAGUCCUUGUGGCUCUUGGCGAACCAGGACUUUUACUUUGAAAAAAUUAGAGUGUUCAAAGCAGGCGUAUUGCUCGAAUAUAUUAGCAUGGAAUAAUAGAAUAGGACGUUUGGUUCUAUUUUGUUGGUUUCUAGGACCAUCGUAAUGAUUAAUAGGGACGGUCGGGGGCAUCAGUAUUCAAUUGUCAGAGGUGAAAUUCUUGGAUUUAUUGAAGACUAACUACUGCGAAAGC
This 941-nucleotide ribosomal RNA is filed under the name Saccharomyces cerevisiae CLIB215. Its description in RNAcentral is "SSU rRNA". It matches the Rfam family "Eukaryotic small subunit ribosomal RNA", at positions 1 to 952 of the family's 1831-position model. Lineage: Eukaryota; Fungi; Ascomycota; Saccharomycetes; Saccharomycetales; Saccharomycetaceae. The record is from RNAcentral.